UCGGAUCGCAGGCUGCAACCCGCCUGCGUGAAGUCGGAAUCGCUAGUAAUCGCGGAUCAGCAUGCCGCGGUGAAUACGUUCCCGGGCCUUGUACACACCGCCCGUCACACCAUGAGAGUCGGGAACACCCGAAGCCCGUAGCCUAACCGCAAGGGGGGCGCGGUCGAAGGUGGGUUCGAUAAUUGGGGUGAAGUCGUAACAAGGUAGC
This 208-nucleotide ribosomal RNA is filed under the name uncultured bacterium. RNAcentral describes it as "partial 16S ribosomal RNA". It matches the Rfam family "Bacterial small subunit ribosomal RNA", at positions 1293 to 1500 of the family's 1533-position model. The record is from RNAcentral.